AGCCCGUAAGAGGAGACUAGAGGUGUGUAACAGCUCCCAGGAGAGUGGGGCAUCCAACUCCAGCAAGAAACCAGCCCUCCAGGAAGAUUUAGUGGUGAGUCCACUAGGGCCAGGACAAUACCAGUAUCGCAAUACUGUUGGUAUCGAGGCAAGGAAACAAAACACAAAGCAGAUUUAACUUCUUUAGGAAAACAGCCCUAAUGCUGGAAACACACAUCAUGUUGUAAUCCAGUGGCACAUUUGUGCGUUGGAAAAAAUAUUACAAUACUGGUAUCAUCCCGGUCCUAGAGUCCACAUGACUGCAGUCCAAUACCUCCUUCAGCCUCCAUGACACCCCCAAACCAGGGUGGGAGUGCAUACUCAGUUUACACCUGAUGUGUGAGUCAUCUGUGUUGAGCUAGAGAUUUACUGAAGUAAUCUGGCUAAAGUGCCGCGCUCAAGUGCACAAGAGCCCUGUGCCCCACCUGGAGUUUUGACCUUGAGGUUAGUGGUUUAUUUCCCUGACCAAGAUGAUAUACUGCCAUCUUGCUUGUUCAUUUGUUAUUUGUCAUCUCCAGUACAGAGGGGUAGGCUUGCGUGGGGAGGAGCUCACACUCUAAUUGGCCUGUCUGCCUUCGGAAUUCACGCGCCAGUGUGUUUUUGUCCAACCAAACAGAUGUUUCUGAGGACGAGGGUCCAGAGCCCAGCUGGAAGAGCUGCAGACUAAGUUCCCCAUUCUACAGACUAAGGCUGUAGAAUCCCUCUCUACAGUGCCUGUGUUCUCUGUCACUGCAGUUCCACAAAACAUUCAUCAAUAUCCUAAAUGUUGGCAAAUGUGAACCAAAAUUGUUUGAAAUGUGGGAGCUGCAUAUGAAUAAUUAUUUUGACAAAAAAUGUGUGCUUUUGGUUUACAACGGUGUCUAUUUGUCUUAUCUUGCAUGCACACAAGAGCUUAGAGAACCACUUCUGGAGCAUGGUGGACAUUUUGAGGAAAUCCUAUAAGCACUGUGCAAGUUUUCAGAGGAGGGUGAGAGUUUUGUGUUUCAUGGUGCAUGUGUAUGUGUCUGUUAUGUGUGCCUGUUUAUACAAAACAAAAACAUGUACAUUAUUUUAGGUAACUAGUUAAAUCCUUCGCUGUCUUGUAGCCCUAUAGUUUCAUGUGUUAAAAGAAUAGCAUCAAUUGGAUUUAUUUGAGAAAAAAGUAUUUGAGGCAAUAGGUAGCCCAAAUUCCCUCCCAGGUCCUGUAGGCGGAUUAUUUUUCCUUCCUUAGAGAGGUCCAGUCAAGAGGACACCCAGGCAUCAUCAUCAGCUAGUUUCCCCCCCCUAAACCUCAGCAUGCCAGGCAGCCCAAGCAGCCAAACUCCCUGGUCAUCCCCCAUCACUACCUCACAAGCCUACCAAUGGGAGCAUAAUUAAGACCUUCAAUAGGCUGCCAGAAGGAGCAGACAAAAGGAGGAAGAUGAUUCCAGAUCCAGGCACCAGCUCUGAGGACGAGGCCAGUGAUGACUUUGAUGUGUCUGCUGAGGGCAUGGAGAUGGAACUUGGAUGCCUCGGGCUCAGAUCAGGAGGUUGGAACAGGGUCUAAUGUGAAGGGCCAGAUCCUCUGGUUUUUCCAGGAGGCAUCGCCGGCUGAGCUGUCUCAUCUCUGGCUGCUCUGUGAAGAAGGCCCAGAAGAUUGUCGAGCUUCGCCUAUUUAACGGGUGGGAGAAUCUGGUGGCUGUUCUCGACGGAGGGAACGGCCUCUCCACUGACCUGGUGCAGGGCUAUUGUGUGGUCCUGAGGGAACAGGACGUGGCGCGCAGCCUCUUGACCAAGUGUGAGAACAUCACCAACAAGAUGAUGCAGGACGUGACUCAAGCGGUGGAGAGGGACAAGGGCUUCCAUAAACAGCCUGAGAUCUUCAACAGCAAGGUUUGGGGGAAGACCAUCCAGGCCAUCUCGUUCCUGUUUCGUUGUUAAAGCAAGGAACAACAAUUGUAGAGAAUCCACGUUACCAUGGAAACAGAGUCAACUGCACAAAUGCCCGGCUGUCCCGUCUUCAAUCAGCUGUUAGUUCGGUCUUGCUUCUCUGGUGUACUAUGGACAUUGUACGUCAUCGAGCGUUAAGGACUCUAUAGAGGACAUGACUGCCUCA
Long non-coding RNA from Oncorhynchus gorbuscha (pink salmon), 2113 nucleotides. RefSeq lists it as uncharacterized. The record is from RefSeq and is a predicted model, not a curated record. The transcript is spliced from 4 exons. NCBI's taxonomy places the organism in Eukaryota, Metazoa, Chordata, Actinopteri, Salmoniformes, Salmonidae.